Molecule: ribosomal RNA, 429 nt
Filed under: Gemmatimonadota bacterium
Lineage: Bacteria; Pseudomonadati; Gemmatimonadota
Description: Gemmatimonadetes bacterium partial 16S ribosomal RNA
Rfam family: Bacterial small subunit ribosomal RNA
Source: RNAcentral
UAGGGAAUCUUCGGCAAUGGACGAAAGUCUGACCGAGCAACGCCGCGUGAGUGAAGAAGGUUUUCGGAUCGUAAAACUCUGUUGUUAGAGAAGAACAAGGACGUUAGUAACUGAACGUCCCCUGACGGUAUCUAACCAGAAAGCCACGGCUAACUACGUGCCAGCAGCCGCGGUAAUACGUAGGUGGCAAGCGUUGUCCGGAUUUAUUGGGCGUAAAGCGAGCGCAGGCGGUUUCUUAAGUCUGAGGUGAAAGCCCCCGGCUCAACCGGGGAGGGUCAUUGGAAACUGGGAGACUUGAGUGCAGAAGAGGAGGGUGGAAUUCCAUGUGUAGCGGUGAAAUGCGUAGAUAUAUGGAGGAACACCAGUGGCGAAGGCGGCUCUCUGGUCUGUAACUGACGCUGAGGCAAGAAAGCGUGGGGAGCAAACAGG